CAACCUCCCACUGAUGUGUUAGAUCCCUGAACCCCUACCUACUGUUCUUUAAAAUGUGUUUAUAAUGUGUACAUUUUUAGCUUAGCGGCUGGUAAGACCAAAUAGACUAUAUUAUUACUAUUAACACACACACACUUGACCAAUAAGCCCAGGCCACAACAGCCAGCCCAGCACAGUCACCAAAAAGAUCAGACCUUUCACAGGACCCACCAACCACAUGAAGCCUGGGGUGGAAAGUGAAUAACAGAUCAUGCCGUCACAGUCACCAUUUGUUCCAACAGAUGAAUAUUUUCUGUUCUCUGUGCUACACACAGCCCUGUAACACCACCACAACAAACACUUGCACUCACACACACAGCAGAACUGAAUCAGCACAGCACCUCAGGAGAAGUGGACCUUCAUGUGCCUGACAAUCUCACCCUUAGUCAUGAAACGUUUCCCACAAACAUCGCACUUGAACCCUUUAUGACCAGAGUGUCUGAAGAGGUGCAUGUCCAAUAUCCUCUUCAGUUUGAAUCUUUUCCCACAAACUUCACACUCAUGACUUCUUGCAGCAGUGUGUGUAACAAGGUGUAAUUUGAUGGUACCCUUCUGAAUGAAACAUUUCCCACAAACUUCACACUCAUGCUUUCUUUCACCAGUGUGUGUAAGAGUGUGUAAUUUGAGGUUACCCUUGUGACUGAAACAUUUCCCACAAACUUCACACUCAUGCUUUCUUUCACCAGUGUGUGUAAGAGUGUGUAAUUUGAGGGUACCCUUCCGACUGAAACAUUUUCCACAAACUUCACACUCAUGAUUUCUUUCACCAGUGUGUGUAAGAGUGUGUAAUUUGAGGGUACCCUUGUGACUGAAACAUUUCCCACAAACUUCACACUCAUGAUUUCUUUCACCAGUGUGUGUAAGAGUGUGUAAUUUGAGGCUACUCUUCCGACUGAAACAUUUCCCACAAACUUCACACUCAUGCUUUCUUUCACCAGUGUGUGUAAGAGUGUGUAAUUUGAGGGUACCCUUGUGACUGAAACAUUUUCCACAAACUUCACACUCAUGAUUUCUUUCACCAGUGUGUGUAAGAGUGUGUAAUUUGAGGGUACCCUUCUGAUUGAAACAUUUCUCACAAACUUCACACUCAUGGUUUCUUGCACCAGUGUGUGUAAGGGUGUGUGUGUUGAGGUGACCCUUAUGAUUGAAACAUUUCCCACAAACUUCACACUCAUGAUUUCUUUCACCAGUGUGUGUAAGAGUGUGUAAUUUGAGGUGACCCUUAUGAUUGAAACAUUUUCCACAAACUUCACACUCAUGAUUUCUUUCACCAGUGUGUGUAAGGGUGUGUGUGUUGAGGUGACCCUUCUGACUGAAACAUUUCCCACAAACUUCACACUCAUGGUUUCUUUCACCAGUGUGUGUAAGGGUGUGUGUGUUGAGGUGACCCUUAUGAUUGAAACAUUUCCCACAAACUUCACACUCAUGGUUUCUUGCACCAGUGUGUGUAAGGGUGUGAUGUUUGGGGUUACUCCUAUUACUAAACCUUUUGCCACACUCCCGACUUUUAUGAGGUCUUACACCAGAGUGUGUGGGUGUAUUUGUUGAGGUCAUCCUUCCCUGCAUGUCUUUUCUCACACUCUUGGCUUUGGUCAGUAAACUUGCUCUCAUUCUCAGAUCUUCUGACACAUCUGAAAUUCAAACUUCCCCCUUUGUGGAUGAAGAGGCCAGCAGUUGUUGUUGUUGUUGGUGGUUGUGUUGGUGGUGUUUUUUAUCACUCCUGAACCUCACACCAUUAGCAGUCUGCUCCUGCUGAUCCCAGCCACUCCAGCUGCUGUCCCGCCUUGCAGCCUCCACUGCAACACUACUCUGGAUGUGAGGAGUUGGCUGGCCUUGAGGAACCUCAGAGAUGCUGGAGAAGGCGGCGAGGUUGCUUCAAAGCCACACUCAGUGACCAAUUGAGCAGGCAAGGUGAGGGAUGCACGGAGUCCUGAAGUCAGCGGCAGCAGGGACGGAACAAGUACUGACCACAGCAACUGUCUCGAUGCCUCACUUCAACACUAACACCAGUGGUGGACAUUGGGACACAAAGUCAUGUGCUGAAAAAAAAAAAAGAAAAAAAAAGAACAUAAGAACAUAAGAACGUAAGGAGUCUGCAAGAGGCCGGUUGGCCUAUACAAGGCAGCUCCUGUACACUCAACCCCACCUUACCUCACCAUCCAUGGCUUUAUCUAACCUCUUCUUGAAUGUAUUUAUGGUAUUGGCGCCCACAACAUAGCUCCCAAGCCUGUUCCAUUUGUCCACCACUCUAUUGGUGAACCAAUUCUUGCCUAUGUCUUUGUUGAAUCUGAAUUUGUCUAACUUAAAACCAUUGCCACGCGUCCUACCUGGCUCUUUCACUCUCAAAAUUUUAUUGACAUCCCCUUUAUUAAAUCCCUUCAUCCAUUUAUAAACUUCGAUCAAGUCUCCUCGCAACCUUCGCCUUUCUAGAGAGUGUAGAUUUAACUGCUUCAGCCUGUCUUCAUAAGGCAAGUUUCUCACCCCCUGAAUCAUCUUUGUCAUCCUCCUCUGUACAGAUUCUAACAUCUUGAUAUCCAUUCUAUAAUAGGGGGACCAGAACUGAACUGCAUAAUCAAGAUGAGGUCUAACUAAUGCUAAGUAAAGUUUGAGGAUGACUUCAGCGCUCCUAUUGCUCACGGUCCUUGAGAUGAAACCUAGUAGUACUCUGUUUGCCCAAUUUUUAGCCUGAAUGCA
Eriocheir sinensis (Chinese mitten crab) is the source of this 2733-nucleotide long non-coding RNA. RefSeq lists it as uncharacterized. Lineage: Eukaryota; Metazoa; Arthropoda; Malacostraca; Decapoda; Varunidae. The transcript is spliced from 3 exons. The record is from RefSeq and is a predicted model, not a curated record.